RNAcentral lists this ribosomal RNA (492 nucleotides) under uncultured bacterium. RNAcentral's name for it is "partial 16S ribosomal RNA". It matches the Rfam family "Bacterial small subunit ribosomal RNA", at positions 30 to 507 of the family's 1533-position model. The record is from RNAcentral.
CGAACGCUGGCGGCGUGCUUAACACAUGCAAGUCGAACGGAAAGGCCUGCUUUCCCUUGUGGAUUGCGGGUGCUCGAGUGGCGAACGGGUGAGUAACACGUGAGUGAUCUGCCCCCAACUUGGGUAUAAGCCUGGGAAACUGGGUCUAAUUCCCGAUAGGACUGCAGGGUGGUGCCUGUGGUGGAAAACGAUUUUCUAGUGGUUGGGGAUGAGCUCGCGGCCUAUCAGCUUGUUGGUGGGGUAAUGGCCUACCAAGGCGGCGACGGGUAGCCGGCCUGAGAGGGUGGACGGCCACAUUGGGGCUGAGAUACGGCCCAGACUCCUACGGGAGGCAGCAGUGGGGAAUAUUGCACAAUGGGCGGAAGCCUGAUGCAGCGACGCCGCGUGGGGGAUGACGGCCUUCGGGUUGUAAACUCCUUUCGACCGCGAGGAAGCCACCUGGUUGGAAGGGUGGUGACGGUAGUGGUAGAAGAAGCACCGGCUAACUACGUG